AUUGAACGCUGGCGGCAGGCCUAACACAUGCAAGUCGAGCGAGUGGCGGACGGGUGAGUAAUGUCUGGGAAACUGCCUGAUGGAGGGGGAUAACUACUGGAAACGGUAGCUAAUACCGCAUACCAUCAGAUGUGCCCAGAUGGGAUUAGCUAGUUGGUGGGGUAACGGCUCACCAAGGCGACGAUCCCUAGCUGGUCUGAGAGGAUGACCAGCCACACUGGAACUGAGACACGGUCCAGACUCCGACGGGAGUCAGCAGUGGGGAAGAUUGCACAAUGGGCGCAAGCGUGAUGCAGCCAUGCCGCGUGUGUGAAGAAGGCCUUCGGGUGGUAAAGUACUUUCAGCGGGGAGGCGUUACCCGCAGAAGAAGCACCGGCUAACUCCGUGCCAGCAGCCGCGGUAAUUC
Molecule: ribosomal RNA, 406 nt
Filed under: uncultured bacterium
Lineage: Bacteria
Description: partial 16S ribosomal RNA
Rfam family: Bacterial small subunit ribosomal RNA
Source: RNAcentral